CUCAGAGCUUCGUGAGAGUCUUAAAAGAAACCCUAGCCCUAGUUGCCAGGCGUCUUAUAAAUGGAGUAUUAUUCGGUAGCUCCUCAGUCUUUGAAACCUCCAUUCCCUUGUCAGGGUCUCUAUCCGGACGCCGCUGGUUCAUCGAUUUUAAGGAGGUGGCGGCAAUGGAAGCUUGAAGUCUGAAAAUUACCAGAGGAGAGGCGACUGCAACCUUUUAGGAGCGGCGGUGGUGGACUCACGAUGGAGGAGCUAGGGUUACCAACAAAGUAGAACCCAAGAGACAUCACAUAUUUCGUUUGGCACGCUUUGCAAUUUUUCCAGCUUUUUUCCUCUUUUUGUUUGUUUUAAUCGGUCAAAUGAAAGACCGAACGUUAAUGACUUAUGUUCUAAAGUUUAGAAAAAAAAAA
This is a long non-coding RNA of Coffea arabica (coffee), 407 nucleotides long. RefSeq lists it as uncharacterized. The record is from RefSeq and is a predicted model, not a curated record. NCBI's taxonomy places the organism in Eukaryota, Viridiplantae, Streptophyta, Magnoliopsida, Gentianales, Rubiaceae.